This is a non-coding RNA of Gossypium arboreum, 108 nucleotides long. The record is from Rfam. Lineage: Eukaryota; Viridiplantae; Streptophyta; Magnoliopsida; Malvales; Malvaceae.
UAACCAUGGUGAGGGCACUUUCUCAAGAGGUCUUUGUAUCUCUCCCAUGCAUCGUAGAGUGUUUCUAAAUCCAUCUGCAGAAAGGAAGAGAUAUCAUUAUGUAAUUUA